GAUGAAGAACGCAGCAAAAUGCGAUAAGUAAUGUGAAUUGCAGAAUUCAGUGAAUCAUCGAAUCUUUGAACGCACAUUGCGCCCGCUGGUAUUCCGGCGGGCAUGCCUGUUCGAGCGUCAUUUCAACCCUCAAGCCCCCGGGUUUGGUGUUGGGGAUCGGCUCUGCCCUUCUGGGCGGUGCCGCCCCCGAAAUACAUUGGCGGUCUCGCUGCAGCCUCCAUUGCGUAGUAGCUAACACCUCGCAACUGGAACGCGGCGCGGCCAUGCCGUAAAACCCCAACUUCUGAAAGUUUGACCUCGGAUCAGGUAGGAAUACCCGCUGAACUUAAGCAUAUCAAUAAGCGGAGGA
RNAcentral lists this unclassified non-coding RNA (349 nucleotides) under soil metagenome. Its description in RNAcentral is "partial contains 5.8S ribosomal RNA, internal transcribed spacer 2, and large subunit ribosomal RNA". The stretch from base 1 to 120 matches the Rfam family "5.8S ribosomal RNA", at positions 35 to 154 of the family's 154-position model. The record is from RNAcentral.